RNA transcript from Tachysurus vachellii, 2342 nucleotides. It is a transcript of the gene named cd8 beta, with no coding region annotated. The transcript is spliced from 6 exons. NCBI's taxonomy places the organism in Eukaryota, Metazoa, Chordata, Actinopteri, Siluriformes, Bagridae. The record is from RefSeq and is a predicted model, not a curated record.
AGGACGAGCAGCAAAAGCACUAAAGCAAGCACACACACACACAUAUAUAUACACACACACACACCCCAUCCUGCAUGCCUAAAGAUGACCCUCAAUCAUAUCUGGAGCUUUAUCUGCUUUCUGACAGCAGCGUCUGCUGUAACAGUGUCCUACCCGAGCAUCAACGGCUCCGAGACCCUGACCUGCUGCUGUCCGGACCACCAGUGUCUGAAGGCGUACUGGUACCGUUUACUUCAGGGAAGCGACACACCUGAGUUCAUAUUGUUUAUCAACAGCGUGAACACUCUGGUCUAUGCAGAAAACAUCGACAAAAAACGCUUCAAGGCAUUUGUAGCCGACUCAGGAAAGAUGUGUUACACGCUGCGCAUCUCUGGCUUACAGAAGCAAGAUGCAGGUUUCUACUCUUGUGUGCUCAACAGUCAGAAUUCAAUACAAAAUCCCAAAGAUCUGAUGCCUGACGGACACGUCAUCUGGCCAGGAGUAAUCAUAUCAACUCCAGCACCAACAGCAGUGAAAAAUCCAAAGCGUAUGAAGCCUCCCAACAGGUGCAAAUCCAGCAAUCAGUCGCCGAAAGGUACAGGCUUGGGUGCAAGUCUCUGGUUCUUUGGCCAGGCAUCGGUACUGUUCUGCUCCUGGUGGUGGUCCUGAUCUCAACACUGUAUUACUACAGCAGGCUACCCAAGAAGUGCAGACAUCACUUUGUUAAAACGAGGCAGCUGAGCUGAGACAGGACGAGACAAGACGAGACAUCACUCCAUCGUGGCAAACCUUUUUUUUUCCUAUAAAUAAAUCCUCUGUACAAUGAAACAUACUUUUUUUAUGCUUUCUUGCAGACGCCCCUUCCUUCACGCUCGAAUCAGAGAAUACCGUCAGGGCCGUAGUUCUCUUUCCCCUCCUUGUUCUGUAAUGUUUAUAUUUAUUUAUUUCUUCAGCAUGAUGCUUUUGUUUUUAUUACAGAUUACAAUCAUCUAAGCAACUAAGUAAGUUUUACUGAACCAGGAUUAAAACGUUCCUAGCUUGGACUCGACACAGGGAACAAGUUGAACGAUGUUCUUUGAGUGAAGAUUGUAAUGGUAAUGAUUUUUAAUAGAAAUAAUGGAUGUCAAGUGGCUCAAGGUUCGACUUAGUACUGCAGAGACGGAUAGUAUUUCUCAUACACUUCUUUUCCAAAUUGUAACUGAUAGUAAAGGAAAACAUGCUAUUUGAAAAAGCUUGUUUUUUUUAAAUUUGUCUUUUGAUAUUGAAAUUUUUAGCUGAUGUUCAAGUGAUUCUGUGGCAUUAUAAAGCAGCCAAAGGAUAAAGACAAAGAAAUUCGGCUCAUCCUGAAGUUGAGUCUUUUCCUAAAAGCUGUUUUAUUGCUCUUUCAGUAUUUGUCCCUGGAUCAUUUUUGUCCAUUUACAGUUACUUAUAAAGGUUUGUAAGAUCCAUAUAACAAGUCGUUUCCUUACCAGCUGUUGUCUUGUUUUCUCUCUCGGGAAGUUUGUCACGUUACUCGUGUUACUGAGAAACCUUUUAGUCCUGAAAACUUUCAUGUGUUGGAAAAACUUACAAAAUGCUGAGACUGAAGACUCCUUCCUUAAACUUUUAAUAAAUACAGUAUGUCCUCACAGAAAACGUCACAGUUACAUAUCAACAAUAACACAUUGCUUUUUAAAAAAAAAAAUCUGUAUAAAGAGAUAUUUUCUAUGCUAGUCUCCUUGUACGCUAACGAUAACGUAUUUCAACAGAGCUUUAAAGUACACAAAUCAACACUUUCUGACCAAUCAGAAUCGAGAAUUAAGCAGCACUGUGGUUUAAAGAUUACAUUAACUAGUGUCUGUUCUGUCCCUCGCUAACAUUUUUGGCAAUUUACAACCACAAGCAUAUUAGUAUUUGAAAUUUUUAUUUAUUUUCUAUCACAGAUGGCAUACACACUUGUUGAUUUACAAAUAAAUCAGUUAAUACAGAUAUAAUAAAUGAUAUAUUCACUCAUUUAAUACUGAAUUUGUUAAGCGUAUUAAUACUGUGAGUAAUGAGACUUAACGCUAGUUUAUUAUUCGUCAUGCUUUUUUACGCUAGCUAGUGGGACAGUUUUGAGAAAUGAUCUAGCUUCAUAUUGCAGGUUCAAUUUCAAGCUACAGAGUGAUAAGAAAUGGAAAAACUCAUUAAUAAUCGUUUGUCUGUACGUGAUUUAAUGAAGGACAUCUAGCUCAUUCACCUAAAUGCUUCUGUAACUUUCUAGUACUUUAUUUUUCCAAAAAUCUAUAUAUCUUUUUCCAUUCAAAGUAUUUUUGUUUUUUUUUUGUUGUACUGUUUUUUUGCUCAAACCUGAACCUUUUCCCCCAAAGAUCAUCCCAUUAAAA